RNAcentral lists this ribosomal RNA (466 nucleotides) under uncultured bacterium. Its description in RNAcentral is "partial 16S ribosomal RNA". It matches the Rfam family "Bacterial small subunit ribosomal RNA", at positions 28 to 507 of the family's 1533-position model. The record is from RNAcentral.
GACGAACGCUGGCGGUGUGCUUAACACAUGCAAGUCGAACGGUAAGGCCCUUUCGGGGGUCCACGAGUGGCGAACGGGUGCGUAACACGUGAGUAACCUGCCCUCAUCUCUGGGAUAACAGUCGGAAACGGUUGCUAAUACUGGAUAUGAGCUUGCAAGGCAUCUUGUGGGUUGGAAAGAUUUUUUUGGUUGGGGAUGGACUCGCGGCCUAUCAGCUUGUUGGUGAGGUAGUGGCUCACCAAGGCUUCGACGGGUAGCCGGCCUGAGAGGGCGACCGGCCACAUUGGGACUGAGAUACGGCCCAAACUCCUACGGGAGGCAGCAGUGGGGAAUAUUGCACAAUGGACGGAAGUCUGAUGCAGCAACGCCGCGUGCGGGAUGACGGCCUUCGGGUUGUAAACCGCUUUCAAUUGUGACGAAGCUUUUUGUGACGGUAGCAGUAGAAGAAGCACCGGCUAACUACGUG